RNAcentral lists this ribosomal RNA (1686 nucleotides) under Triticum aestivum (bread wheat). RNAcentral describes it as "partial small subunit ribosomal RNA". Lineage: Eukaryota; Viridiplantae; Streptophyta; Magnoliopsida; Poales; Poaceae. The record is from RNAcentral.
CUGGUAGACGGGCAGCUGCAGGUGGCGGCGUACGAGAUCGUGAACAUUAUCGGGAACGGCGCCAUGACGGUGGGGUACUGGACGCCGGACGGCAAGGCUGCACGGCAGUUGAAACCCAUCCUCUGGCCGGGCGAGAUGCUGUCCCCGCCUAGAGGCUGGACGGCGUCGCAGAACGAGCGGGUGCUCAAUGUCGCUGUGCCGGUGAAGCACGGGUUCAAGCAGUUCGUGGACGUCUUCUCCGAGAACUCGACGACGCCGAAGAUCACCGGCUACUGCAUCGACGUGUUCGACGCGGUGAUGAAGAAUCUUCCCUACCCGGUAAGCUACCGCUACGUGCCUUACAACGCCAGCUCGGAGUCGUACGAGAUGCUGGUGGACCAGGUGAGCGAGGGGAAGGCGGACAUGGCGGUGGGGGACGUGACGAUCAGAGCGAGCAGGAUGGACAAGGUGGACUUCACGGUGCCGUUCACGGAGUCCGGGUGGGCAAUGGUGGUGGCGACACGGCCGGACACGAGCGCCAGCGUGUGGAUCUUUCUACAGCCACUGACCACCAGCCUCUGGCUCACCAGCCUCGCCUUCUUUUGCUUCACCGGCUUCGUGGUGUGGGUCAUCGAGCACCGCAUCAACCCGGAGUUCCGGGGCACGCCGUCGCAGCAGUUCGGCCUCAUCUUCUACUUCGGCUUCUCCACCCUCGUCUUCGCACACAAGGAGAAGCUGGAGAGCAACCUGUCGAGAUUUGUGGUGAUCAUAUGGGUGUUCGUGGUGCUGAUCCUGACGUCGAGCUACACGGCGAGCCUGACGUCGAUGCUGACGGUCCAGCAGCUCCGGCCGACGGUGACGGACGUGAAGGAGCUCCAGAGGCGCGGCCAAUACAUCGGGUACCAGGAGGGCACCUUCAUCGAGCCCAUGCUCAAGAAAAUGGGCUUCGACGAUCGGAGGAUGAAGAAGUACAGCACGGUGGAGCAGUACGCGGUGGCGCUGUCCAAGGGUUCGGCGAACGGCGGCGUGGACGCGGUGUUCGACGAGAUGCCGUACCUGAAGACGUUCCUCUCGCAGCACUGCGACGGAUACAUGCAGGUGGGGCCCAUCUACAAGACGGACGGCUUCGGGUUCGUGUUCCCGAGGGGGUCGCCCAUGGCGGGGGACGUGUCGCGGGAGAUCCUGAAGCUGGCGGAGGGGGACAAGAUGGCGCACAUCGAGAAGGCGUGGUUCGGCGAGCCCGGCGCAUGCCAGAACGCGCUGGACGGCAUCGGCCGCGGCGGCGGCUCGUCGAACCUUAGCUUCUGGAGGUUCGGCGGGCUGUUCCUCAUCACCGGCGUCGUAUCCACCCUGAUGCUGCUGCUCUACCUCGCCAUCUUCGCGUACCGUGAGCGCGAGGAGCUCCGGGAGGCGGAGGCGAAGGCUGAGGCCGAGGCUGCGCGCGUGGCUGCAGCACUUCGACAGGAAGGACCUCAAGUCCCCCACCUUCAAGACGUGGAACGACGGGUCCCCCAGGAACGGCAACGACUCCGCGGGCAGGACGCCAAGAUGGAACGGCGGCGCCGGCGACGCGAGCAUGCCGCCGAGGGACAGUGGGGAGGAGCAUCAACAUGCCAUGGAAGGGACCAGCCCGCUGAGCGUGUACAUCAGCUCCGAGAUGAACGCCGGCUCUUCGCCGGAGGGGACGCCGGCGUCGAAGAUCAGUGA